CGGCAGGCCUUAUACAUGCAAGUCGAACGGUAACAUUGGUGCUUGCACCAGAUGACGAGUGGCGCACGGGUGCGUAACGCGUAUGCAACCUACCUUUUACUAGAGUAUAGCCCAGAGAAAUUUGGAUUAAUCCUCUAUAACAUCUUUUAAUUUCAUGAUUAAUUGAUUAAAGUUUUAACGGUAAAAGAUGGGCAUGCGUCCUAUUAGUUUGUAGGUGAGGUAACGGCUCACCUAGACUACGAUAGGUAGGGGCCCUGAGAGGGGGAUCCCCCACACUGGUACUGAGACACGGACCAGACUCCUACGGGAGGCAGCAGUAAGGAAUAUUGGACAAUGGACGAAAGUCUGAUCCAGCCAUGCCGCGUGCAGGAUGAAAGCCCUAUGGGUUGUAAACUGCUUUUAUACAGGAAGAAACACUCCGACGUGUCGGAGCUUGACGGUACUGUAAGAAUAAGGAUCG
Molecule: ribosomal RNA, 460 nt
Filed under: uncultured Flavobacteriaceae bacterium
Lineage: Bacteria; Pseudomonadati; Bacteroidota; Flavobacteriia; Flavobacteriales; Flavobacteriaceae
Description: bacterial SSU rRNA
Rfam family: Bacterial small subunit ribosomal RNA
Source: RNAcentral